Molecule: ribosomal RNA, 253 nt
Filed under: uncultured bacterium
Lineage: Bacteria
Description: partial 16S ribosomal RNA
Rfam family: Bacterial small subunit ribosomal RNA
Source: RNAcentral
CACGUAGGGGGCAAGCGUUGUUCGGAUUCAUUGGGCGUAAAGGGUGCGUAGGUGGCGCUGUAAGUCGGGUGUGAAAUUUCGGAGCUUAACUCCGAAACUGCAUUCGAUACUGCGGUGCUUGAGGACUGGAGAGGAGACUGGAAUUCAUGGUGUAGCAGUGAAAUGCGUAGAGAUCAUGAGGAAGACCAGUGGCGAAGGCGGGUCUCUGGACAGUUCCUGACACUGAGGCACGAAGGCCAGGGGAGCAAACGGG